GGUUGGUCAGCCACACUGGAACUGAGACACUGUCCAGACAUCUACGGAUGGCUGCAGUCGAGAAUCUUUCGCAAUGGGGGAAACCCUGACGAAGCGACGCCGCGUGGAGGAUGAAGGUCUUCGGAUUGUAAACUCCUGUCGGCCGGGAAAAAAUACUUACUGAUAACAUCAGUAAGUUUUGAUGGUACCGGCAAAGGAAGCCACGGCUAACUCUGUGCCAGCAGCCGCGGUAAUACAGAGGUGGCAAGCGUUGUUCGGAUUUAUUGGGCGUAAAGGGUUCGUAGGCGGACCGGAAAGUCAGAUGUGAAAUCCCACAGCUCAACUGUGGAACUGCAUUUGAAACUUCCGGACUAGAGUGUGAGAGGGGUUAAGGGAAUUCCCGGUGUAA
This 388-nucleotide ribosomal RNA is filed under the name uncultured bacterium. Its description in RNAcentral is "bacterial SSU rRNA". It matches the Rfam family "Bacterial small subunit ribosomal RNA", at positions 298 to 678 of the family's 1533-position model. The record is from RNAcentral.